Molecule: long non-coding RNA, 227 nt
Filed under: Capsicum annuum
Lineage: Eukaryota; Viridiplantae; Streptophyta; Magnoliopsida; Solanales; Solanaceae
Description: long non-coding RNA (CANN_LNC012869)
Source: RNAcentral
AACUUUUUCGGCUCCUGAGACAUGAACCACUCCAAGGCUUCACCAUUCAAACUUCGACUGAAUAGGCGCAUCACUAGCGCCUCAUUUUUCCCUAUCCCUACCAGUUGCUCACAGUACCUUCUUAGAUGGGCCAUUGGAUUUCUGGUACCGUCAAACAUCUCAAACUUAGGGACUUUGUACCCUUCUGGUAGAUCUACUCCCGGGUGAACACAUAAAUCGUCAUACCC